CCUUCAUGAAGCUGGAAUUGCUAGUAAUGGCAGGUCAGCAUACUGCCGUGAAUACGUUCCCGGGCCUUGUACACACCGCCCGUCACACCAUGAGAGUUGGAAAUGCCCGAAGUCAGUGACCCAACCACAACGUGAACUUUGUUCACGUGGAGGGAGCUGCCGAAGGUGGAGCCGGUAACUGGGGUGAAGUCGUAACAAGGUAAC
This 204-nucleotide ribosomal RNA is filed under the name uncultured bacterium. RNAcentral's name for it is "partial 16S ribosomal RNA". It matches the Rfam family "Bacterial small subunit ribosomal RNA", at positions 1315 to 1500 of the family's 1533-position model. The record is from RNAcentral.